GUAAUAAUUGUGCACUUCCUACGGCUUCCACUAGAUGUCGACAGUCUUUACAAAGUUGUUUGAAGCUUCUACGAUGAACAGAGCCCGAAUGACAAGGAGGGGAAGUUGUUGAGGCAGGGGGUGACAUCACUUCUUCGGGCGCGUUCACGAGGGAGGGAGGAUCCUCCCGUUCCAAAACCUUUUUCAAGACACAGGAACCGUCCGGUUGAAAUAUUAUUGAAUCUUCACAUUCUGAAGGCCCUAAAGAUUGAUGUUUUACAACGUUUGACAUGUUUGAACGAACGUAAAUACAACUUUUUUUUACUUUUCGUCGCGACAUCGUCCGUGCGCUUUCUACACUUGGAGUAGCUUACUGGACGCACGAACAACAAGGAGUUAUUUGGACAUAAAUUAUGGACUUUAUCGAACAAAACAACAUUUGUUCUGGACCUGGAAAUCCUGGAAGUGCCUUCUGAUGAAGAUGAUGAAAGGACCUGACCCUAGGACCAUGCCUCAGGACUACCUGACAUGAUGACUCCUUGCUGUCCCCAGUCCACCUGGCCGUGCUGCUGCUCCAGUUUCAACUGUUCUGCCUGCGGCUAUGGAACCCUGACCUGCUACCUGUCCCAGACCUACUGUUUUCAACUCUCUAGAGACAGCAGGAGCGGUAGAGAUACUCUCAAUGAUCGGCUAUGAAAAGCCAACUGACAUUUAAUCUUGAAGUGCUGACUUGUUGCACUCUCGACAACUGUGAUUAUUUUUUAUUUGACCAUGCUGGUCAUUUAUGAACAUUUGAACAUCUUGGCCAUGUUCUGUUAUAAUCUCCACCCGGCACAGCCAGAAGAGGACUGGCCACCCCUCAUAUCCUGGUUCCUCUCUAGGUUUCUUCCUAGGUUUUGGCCUUUCUAGGGAGUUUUUCCUAGCCACUGUGCUUCUACACCUGCAUUGCUUGCUGUUUGGGGUUUUAGGCUGGGUUUCUGUACAGCACUUUGAGAUAUCAGCUGAUGUAAGAAGGGCUAUAUAAAUACAUUUGAUUUGAUUUGAUAGUGAAGACAUCAAAAUUAUGAAUUAACACAUAUGGAAUCAUAUAGUUACCAAAAAACUGUUAAACAAUUCAAAAUAUAUUUAAUAUUUUAGAAUCUUCAAAGUAGACACCCUUGCUUUGAUGACAGCUUUGCACACUCUUGGCGUUCUCUCAACCAGCUUCACCUGAAAUACUUUUCCAACAGUCUUGAAGGAAUUCCCACAUAUGCUGAGCACUUGUUGGCUGAUUUUCCUUCACUCUGCGGUCAACUCAUCCCAAACCAUUUAAUUUGGGUUGAGUUUGGGUGAUUGUGGAGGCCAGUUCAUCUGAUGCAGCACUCCAUCACUUUCCUUCUUUGUCAAACAGCCCUUACACAGCCUGGAGGUGUGUUGGGUCAUUAUCCUGUUGAAAAACAAAUGAUAGUCUCAUUAAGAGCAAACCAGAUGGGAUGGCAUAUCGCUGUAGAAUGCUGUGGUAGCCAUGCUGGUUAAGUGUGCCUUAAAUUGUAAAUAAAUUACAGACCAGCAAAGCACCCCCACACCAUUAGCCCUCCUCCUCCAUGCUUCACAGUGGGAACCACACAUGUGGAGAUCAUCCUACUCUGCGUCUCACAAAGACACGGCGGUUGGAACCAACUCAUCAGACCAAAAGACAGAUUUCCACCAGUCUAAUGUCCAUUGCUCUUGAUUCUUGGCCCAAGCAAGUCUCUUAUUAUUAUUGGUGUCCUUUAGUAGUGGUUCCUUUGCAGCAAUUAGACCAUGAAGGCCUGAUUCAUGCAGUCUCCUCUAAACAGUUGAUGUUGAGAUUUGUCUGUUACUGUAACUCUGUGAAUCAUUUCUUUUGGCUGCAAUUUCUGAGGCUGGUAACUCUAAUGAACAUAUCCUCUGCAGCUGAGGUAACUCUGGGUCUUCCUUUCCUCUGGUGGUCCUCUUGAGAGCCAGUUUCAUCAUAGCACUUGAUGGUUUUUGCGUCUGCACUUGAGGAAACGUUCAAAUUUUCCGGAUUGAAGGACCUUCAUGUCUUAAAGUAAUGAUGGACUUUUCUCUUUGCUUAUUUGAGCUGUUCUUGCCAUAAUAUGGACUUGGUCUUUUACCAAGUAGGGCUAUCUUCUGGAUACCCCUACCUUAUCACAACCCAGCAGUUAGAAGAAUGAUUGUCCAUGUGGAAAAGGUGGAGUUGAUGUGGAGGACAGGAAUUUAUAGAGGUUCUUUCAACCGUCCUUCCUGAAAACAACUAAAGAGUUUAAGGGCAGACUAGGAUCUCCAACCCCGGGCAAAGCCACUGAUUGGCUGACCGGGUCAGCUGACUCUGUUCUCUGGAAACCUGGUCCCUAACACAUAACCUCAGCUGUUAGAAGUCACCAAGUUUGUCUCUAAGUCCCAGGGCCAGAUAGAGGGUUUUAGAGAGGGUUCUGGGUAGUACUCAUAGGCAACAGUAAGGGUUUUCUUCAUACUAUGAUAUUGAAUGUGUGCCCCAGAUGUAUUUCCAGCUAAUAAUUAUGGUUAGUCACUAGCAGAACAAUCUCCAUGACAUUAACUUGAGUUGCACUUCUGUCUGUCUCCCUAUCAGUAUGAAUCAAUGUUUAACAGGCAUUUAUAACCACCUUUAAUGCUCUUAUAAUGACAUAGUGGAGCAAUCGCUGAGCUAAAGUUCCCGGUAGAAGAGGAAGUAACGCUUUAAAUUGAAUCAAUGUCAUAACACUUGAAAACAUGUUUACAGCCAUAUUGAUUUGUUGUGUGGAAUGGAACUCAAAAAAUACAAUUUAACACUGAGGUAAGGCAGACGACCAUAUGAACAGGAACAACCCUGGCUGGCAGUCUAGCUUAUGUUGACAUCAUUUUUUGAUGUUGAGAAAAGUACAAAAUCUGCAGGGCUUGCACUAUGACGCUG
RNAcentral lists this long non-coding RNA (2893 nucleotides) under Salmo salar (Atlantic salmon). RNAcentral's name for it is "lncRNA (ENSSSAG00000108654.1)". Lineage: Eukaryota; Metazoa; Chordata; Actinopteri; Salmoniformes; Salmonidae. The record is from RNAcentral.